RNAcentral lists this ribosomal RNA (506 nucleotides) under uncultured bacterium. Its description in RNAcentral is "partial 16S ribosomal RNA". It matches the Rfam family "Bacterial small subunit ribosomal RNA", at positions 29 to 523 of the family's 1533-position model. The record is from RNAcentral.
AGUGAACGCUGGCGGUAGGCCUAACACAUGCAAGUCGAACGGCAGCACAGGAGAGCUUGCUCUCUGGGUGGCGAGUGGCGGACGGGUGAGGAAUACAUCGGAAUCUACUCUGUCGUGGGGGAUAACGUAGGGAAACUUACGCUAAUACCGCAUACGACCUACGGGUGAAAGCAGGGGAUCUUCGGACCUUGCGCGAUUGAAUGGGCCGAUGUCGGAUUAGCUAGUUGGCGGGGUAAAGGCCCACCAAGGCGACGAUCCGUAGCUGGUCUGAGAGGAUGAUCAGCCACACUGGAACUGAGACACGGUCCAGACUCCUACGGGAGGCAGCAGUGGGGAAUAUUGUACAAUGGGCGCAAGCCUGAUCCAGCCAUACCGCGUGGGUGAAGAAGGCCUUCGGGUUGUAAAGCCCUUUUGUUGGGAAAGAAAUCCAGCUGGCUAAUACCCGGUUGGGAUGACGGUACCCAAAGAAUAAGCACCGGCUAACUUCGUGCCAGCAGCCGCCGUAA